CUCCUCCAAAGUCCAGCACCGCCCCUCUGUGCGCCUAGAUUUAUAAGAGCCGCAGAUCCUCGGCACUGGUUUGGCACAAGACUUCCCGAGCAGGACAAGUAACCCUCAAAAUGUAGCCAGUAUCCAGGGCUGCUCACAGCUUUGCUUGUUAACGAAGAUGAAGGUCUUAAAAUGGUUUUACCACAAGCAACUUCCCCUACAUGGAAUAUACCUGUUGUUUUCCCCUGAGGCCUCACACUGCCACUCUGAGGAGUAAAAUGAUAGAUCCAGAGGGUUUACCACAGAUCAUGGGGAGACAAUACAGCAUCUCUUCAGCCAGCUGAUGCCAGGCAUCUUCCUGCGAGGAGUCGCUCCAUUCAGGUAUGGUCUGAUGACCUGCAUGUCGAUCCGUUGCUCCUGGUCGCCAAUGAUCACUGUUCGCCACAGACGACCAGACGAGUCUCGCUCCUCUUCGCUUUCUCCUGGGAGACGCUUGGCAGUGGCCACAGGAGUGUCAUCUGAAAACAAGGUUACACCACAAAGCUGCUGCUCAGACCAUUUAACCUUCUUCUCACAUUUAUAAACAUCAGGUGAAGCCAGCAUGAGG
This is a long non-coding RNA of Archocentrus centrarchus (flier cichlid), 586 nucleotides long. RefSeq lists it as uncharacterized. The record is from RefSeq and is a predicted model, not a curated record. The transcript has 4 exons. NCBI's taxonomy places the organism in Eukaryota, Metazoa, Chordata, Actinopteri, Cichliformes, Cichlidae.